GUAGGCGGUUUGUUAAGUGAAUAGUGAAAUCUGGUGGCUCAACCAUACAGGCUAUUAUUCAAACUGGCAAACUCGAGAGUGGUAGAGGUCACNUGGAAUUUCUUGUGUAGGAGUGAAAUCCGUAGAUAUAAGAAGGAACACCGAUGACGUAGGCAGGUGACNUGGACCAUUUCUGACGCUAAGGCACGAAAGCGUGGGGAGCGAACCGGAUUAGAUACCCGGGUAGUCCACGCCGUAAACGAUGGAUACUGGCUGUUGGAGGUAUCGACCCCUUCAGUAGCGAAGCUAACGCGUUAAGUAUCCCGCCUGUGGAGUACGGUCGCAAGACUAAAACAUAAAGGAAUUGACGGGGACCCGCACAAGCGGUGGAUCGUGUUCUUUAAUUCGAUGCUAAACGAAGAACCUUACCAGGGCUUGACAUCCAGGGAAUUUUUGGGAAACCAAUUAGUGCCUUUUGGAACCCUGUGACAGGUGAUGCAUGGCCGUCGUCAGCUCGUGUCGUGAGAUGUUUGGUUAAGUCCAUCAACGAGCGCAACCCUUGCAACUAGUUGGAUUUUUCUAGUUGGACUGCUUCGGUAACGGAGAGGAAGGAGGGGNAUGAUGUCAGGUCAGUAUUUCCCUUACGUCCUGGGCUAGAAACACGAUACAAUGGCUAGUACAAUGCNCAGCAAAA
RNAcentral lists this ribosomal RNA (673 nucleotides) under uncultured Candidatus Saccharibacteria bacterium. RNAcentral's name for it is "bacterial SSU rRNA". It matches the Rfam family "Bacterial small subunit ribosomal RNA", at positions 571 to 1254 of the family's 1533-position model. The record is from RNAcentral. Lineage: Bacteria; Candidatus Saccharimonadota.